AUUAUCCCCAAAGAUCUUCCCCUUCGUCUUCCCCUUUGGGGAACCCCUUCGUUUUCUUCCCCAAAGGGGAACCCCCUUCUUCAUCCCCUUUAGUUCCCCUAAAGGGGAUGAACUAAAGGGGACUCCGUCCCCUUUAGUUCCCCGUAGGGGAUGAAGAAGGGGAACACCCCUUCGUUUUCUUCCCCUUUGGUUCAUCCCCUUUAGGGGAACUAAAGGGGACGAACCCCUUCUUCCCCUUUAGGGGACUCCGUCCCCUUUAGGGGAAGAAGAAGAACACACCCCUUCUUCCCCUUUAGUUCCCCUUUAGGGGAUGAAGUCUUCCCCUAAAGGGGAACUAAAGGAGUUCUUCCCCUAAAGGGGAACUUUAGUUCAUCCCCUAAAGGGGAACUUUAGUUCCCCUUUAGGGGAAGAAGAAGAACACCAAAGUCUUCCCCUUCGUUUUCUUCCCCUUUAGGGGACGAACACUAAAGGGGACAAGAAGGGGAACCAAAGGGUGACCAAAGAAGACAACCAAGUCAAAAAGGGGAAGGGCUCUAAGAGUAGGGGUUCGUCUUCCCCAAAGGGGAACCNCCUUCGUCUCCCCUUUGGGGAACACUAAAGGGGAACAAAGAAGACUUCCCCUUCUUGUUCUUCUUCUUCUUCUUCUUCUUCCCCUUUA
RNAcentral lists this long non-coding RNA (658 nucleotides) under Volvox carteri. Its description in RNAcentral is "long non-coding RNA (VCAR_LNC004301)". The record is from RNAcentral. Lineage: Eukaryota; Viridiplantae; Chlorophyta; Chlorophyceae; Chlamydomonadales; Volvocaceae.